This 512-nucleotide ribosomal RNA is filed under the name uncultured bacterium. Its description in RNAcentral is "partial 16S ribosomal RNA". It matches the Rfam family "Bacterial small subunit ribosomal RNA", at positions 28 to 523 of the family's 1533-position model. The record is from RNAcentral.
GACGAACGCUGGCGGCGUGCCUAAUACAUGCAAGUCGAGCGGAACUGGGGGAGCUUGCUCCUUCCAGUUUAGCGGCGGACGGGUGAGUAACGCGUGGGCAACCUGCCCUGCAGAUCGGGAUAACUCCGGGAAACCGGUGCUAAUACCGGAUAGUUUGACGCCUCUCAUGAGGCGCUACGGAAAGACGGUUUGGGCUGUCACUGCAGGAUGGUCCCGCGGCGCAUUAGCUAGUUGGUGGGGUAACGGCCCACCAAGGCGACGAUGCGUAGCCGACCUGAGAGGGUGACCGGCCACACUGGGACUGAGACACGGCCCAGACUCCUACGGGAGGCAGCGGUAGGGAAUCUUCCGCAAUGGACGCAAGUCUGACGGAGCAACGCCGCGUGAGUGACGAAGGUUUUCGGAUCGUAAAACUCUGUUGUGAGGGAAGAACACGUACCAACUAACUAUUGGUACCUUGACGGUACCUCACCAGAAAGCCACGGCUAACUACGUGCCAGCCGCCGCGGUAA